This 65-nucleotide transfer RNA is filed under the name Calcaritermes cf. nigriceps. Its description in RNAcentral is "tRNA-Phe". The record is from RNAcentral. Lineage: Eukaryota; Metazoa; Arthropoda; Insecta; Blattodea; Kalotermitidae.
ACUUGUAUAGCUUAAGCUUAGAGCUUAACAUUGAAGAUGUUAGGGAGGUGAGAUACCUGCAAGUA